This is a non-coding RNA of Danio aesculapii, 571 nucleotides long. Lineage: Eukaryota; Metazoa; Chordata; Actinopteri; Cypriniformes; Danionidae. The record is from the annotation of a RefSeq genome assembly.
AUGACUGAGAGCAGAACACACACAAUCUUCAUCAUCAUCAUCAUCAUCAUCACACCAGACUCAAGUACAGCUAUGAACAACAUCUGCAUCUGUGUCUGGACUCUGACUCUCUGCAUUCAGGAGAGUUGGGGACAAGUGACAGUGACUCAGAAUCCAGCAGUCAAAUCCAUCACACUAGGAGAAACUCUGACCAUCAGCUGUAAAACCAGUCAGCCCAUAUCUGGCUGUAGUGACUGUGUGUCCUGGUAUCAGCAGACACCUGGAGAAGCCCCUAAACUCCUCAUCUAUUAUAUAAGCAGCCGUUACUCAAACACUCCAUCUAGAUUCAGUGGCGAUGGAGCUAACUAUGGCAGUGAUUUUACUCUGAGCAUCAGUGGAGUCCAGACUGAAGAUGCUGGAGAUCAUUACUGUCUGAGUUUACACUAUAUCAGUGGUAGUUAUGUGUUCACACAGUGAUAAAGACUGGUACAGAAACCUGCUGUUCACAGUGACUGCACUGAUUCAGCUGAGAGACACUGCAGCUGCUGAUGGAGGAACACACACUAGCAAAGUUCAUUAAGACCUUAAAUGU